CACUCCUACGGGAGGCAGCAGUGGGGAAUAUUGCACAAUGGGCGCAAGCCUGAUGCAGCCAUGCCGCGUGUAUGAAGAAGGCCUUCGGGUUGUAAAGUACUUUCAGCGGGGAGGAAGGCAAUACGGUUAAUAACCGUGUUGAUUGACGUUACCCGCAGAAGAAGCACCGGCUAACUCCGUGCCAGCAGCCGCGGUAAUACGGAGGGUGCAAGCGUUAAUCGGAAUUACUGGGCGUAAAGCGCACGCAGGCGGUCUGUCAAGUCGGAUGUGAAAUCCCCGGGCUCAACCUGGGAACUGCAUUCGAAACUGGCAGGCUUGAGUCUUGUAGAGGGGGGUAGAAUUCCAGGUGUAGCGGUGAAAUGCGUAGAGAUCUGGAGGAAUACCGGUGGCGAAGGCGGCCCCCUGGACAAAGACUGACGCUCAGGUGCGAAAGCGUGGGGAGCAAACAGGAUUAGAAACCCAGUAGUCCCAUG
This 473-nucleotide ribosomal RNA is filed under the name uncultured organism. RNAcentral describes it as "partial 16S ribosomal RNA". It matches the Rfam family "Bacterial small subunit ribosomal RNA", at positions 334 to 799 of the family's 1533-position model. The record is from RNAcentral.